CCUACGGGUGGCAGCAGUCGAGAAUCAUUCACAAUGGGGGAAACCCUGAUGGUGCGACGCCGCGUGGGUGAAUGAAGGUCUUCGGAUUGUAAACCCCUGUCAUGUGGGAGCAAAUUAAAAAGAUAGUACCACACGAGGAAGAGACGGCUAACUCUGUGCCAGCAGCCGCGUUAAUACAGAGGUCUCAAGCGUUGUUCGGAAUCACCGGGCGUAAAGCGUGCGUAGGCUGUUUCGUAAGUCGUGUGUGAAAGGCGCGGGCUCAACCCGCGGAAGGCAGAUGAUACUGCGAGACUAGAGUGAUGGAGGGGGAACCGGAAUUCUCGGUGUAGCAGUGAAAUGCGUAGAUAUAGAGAGGAACACUCGUGGCGAAGGCGGGUUCCUGGACAUUAACUGACGCUGAGGCACGAAGGCCAGGGGAGCGAAAGGGAUUAGAUACCCGAGUAGUC
This 446-nucleotide ribosomal RNA is filed under the name uncultured bacterium. Its description in RNAcentral is "partial 16S ribosomal RNA". It matches the Rfam family "Bacterial small subunit ribosomal RNA", at positions 338 to 795 of the family's 1533-position model. The record is from RNAcentral.